CAGGAAAUAGUUUAAUAAAAAUAGUAACUUUGGGAGUUACAGACUUAGCACUACUAAUUUUCUGA
This 65-nucleotide transfer RNA is filed under the name Pseudunio marocanus. Its description in RNAcentral is "tRNA-Pro". Lineage: Eukaryota; Metazoa; Mollusca; Bivalvia; Unionida; Margaritiferidae. The record is from RNAcentral.